Oreochromis aureus is the source of this 807-nucleotide long non-coding RNA. NCBI's taxonomy places the organism in Eukaryota, Metazoa, Chordata, Actinopteri, Cichliformes, Cichlidae. The record is from Ensembl.
AUCAUAUCGUACGUGCACUUGCAACUGUUUUGAGGUUUUUCUCCAUAUAUAAAUAGCGACUGUAAAUGUAAGUUUAAAUCGUCUUACCUGUAAAACCUGCCGUCAUUGCCGGAAGUCAGUGUUUGGGCGCACACUUUAAUAACUGGGGGUGGGCGGGGGGGUUUCAGUGUAACUGAAAAGUAAAGUUUUACUUUCCUGUGUGGGACAUCAUCUGCUGUCUAGUCGGCAACAGAGGAAGAGUAUAUUUUCAGUUUUGAAAAAUAAAUGGAGAGGAAAAGAUCUGCGGAAGGGGAAGACCAAGAAGGCUGUGGAUUAAGGAAAAGAUGGAAGGCUGAAUAUAAUGAACCUUCUGAUGAUGAAGACGAGAAGGAGGAGGAGGAUCAAAAAACUUGGAGGACAGAAGGAAAACAGCUUUUGCCUGUAAUCUGUGGAACCACAGAGGGCAUCCUUGAUUGUGAGAAGCUGGAACAAGGUAAGGCGUGUAUUGUGUAUGAAGGCAAAUGGUGUAAGCCCUCUAGGUUUGAGAAACUUGCAGGGAAAAGAUUGUGUAAAAAAUGGAAAGCAACUAUUUUCUAUGAUGAUCAACCUCUGGAGUAUUGGAUUAAGAAACGUUACCUAAAAACUAAGGGAUACAGAAAAGGAAGAUCCAAGACUAGAACGGAAAUACAAUCAUCCAACUCUGAAGAAACUGAAGAUGAUAAUGCUGAAGAGAGGACAACAAAACAUACAAUUUCAACAGCAAUGAAACAUCUAUUCAGGGGAAAGAACUAAGAAUUAUUCUCAAGAGAUGUUUUGAUGGAAGACAGG